RNAcentral lists this ribosomal RNA (253 nucleotides) under uncultured bacterium. Its description in RNAcentral is "partial 16S ribosomal RNA". It matches the Rfam family "Bacterial small subunit ribosomal RNA", at positions 524 to 776 of the family's 1533-position model. The record is from RNAcentral.
UACGUAGGGUGCGAGCGUUAAUCGGAAUUACUGGGCGUAAAGCGUGCGCAGGCGGUUUUGUAAGCCAGAUGUGAAAUCCCCGGGCUUAACCUGGGAAUGGCAUUUGGGACUGCACGGCUAGAGUGUGUCAGAGGGGGGUAGAAUUCCACGUGUAGCAGUGAAAUGCGUAGAUAUGUGGAGGAAUACCGAUGGCGAAGGCAGCCCCCUGGGAUAACACUGACGCUCAUGCACGAAAGCGUGGGGAGCAAACAGG